UACGGGGGGAGCAAGCGUUGUUCGGAUUUACUGGGCGUAAAGGGCGCGUAGGCGGUCAGCACAAGUCAGUUGUGAAAUCUCCGGGCUUAACUCGGAAAGGUCAACUGAUACUGUGCGACUAGAGUGCGGAAGGGGCAACUGGAAUUCUCGGUGUAGCGGUGAAAUGCGUAGAUAUCGAGAGGAACGCCUGCGGCGAAGGCGGGUUGCUGGGCCGACACUGACGCUGAUGCGCGAAAGCCAGGGGAGCGAACGGG
RNAcentral lists this ribosomal RNA (254 nucleotides) under uncultured bacterium. RNAcentral describes it as "partial 16S ribosomal RNA". It matches the Rfam family "Bacterial small subunit ribosomal RNA", at positions 524 to 776 of the family's 1533-position model. The record is from RNAcentral.